AACGAACGCUGGCGGCAGGCCUAACACAUGCAAGUCGAACGCCCUCUUUGAGGGAGUGGCAGACGGGUGAGUAACACGUGGGAACCUACCCAGUAGUACGGAACAACACAGAGAAAUUUGUGCUAAUACCGUAUACGCCCUACGGGGGAAAGAUUUAUCGCUAUUGGAUGGGCCCGCGCUGGAUUAGCUAGUUGGUGAGGUAAAAGCUCACCAAGGCGACGAUCCAUAGCUGGUCUGAGAGGAUGAUCAGCCACACUGGGACUGAGACACGGCCCAGACUCCUACGGGAGGCAGCAGUGGGGAAUAUUGGACAAUGGGCGCAAGCCUGAUCCAGCCAUGCCGCGUGAGUGAUGACGGCCCUAGGGUUGUAAAGCUCUUUCAACGGUGAAGAUAAUGACGGUAGCCGUAGAAGAAGCCCCGGCUAACUUCGUG
RNAcentral lists this ribosomal RNA (432 nucleotides) under uncultured bacterium. RNAcentral's name for it is "bacterial SSU rRNA". It matches the Rfam family "Bacterial small subunit ribosomal RNA", at positions 29 to 507 of the family's 1533-position model. The record is from RNAcentral.